This 468-nucleotide ribosomal RNA is filed under the name uncultured bacterium. RNAcentral's name for it is "partial 16S ribosomal RNA". It matches the Rfam family "Bacterial small subunit ribosomal RNA", at positions 28 to 507 of the family's 1533-position model. The record is from RNAcentral.
GACGAACGCUGGCGGCGUGCUUAACACAUGCAAGUCGAACGGAAAGGCCCUGCUUUUGUGGGGUGCUCGAGUGGCGAACGGGUGAGUAACACGUGAGUAACCUGCCCUUGACUUUGGGAUAACUUCAGGAAACUGGGGCUAAUACCGGAUAGGAGCCCCUGCUGCAGGGUGGGGGUGGGAAAGUUUCGGCGGUUGGGGAUGGACUCGCGGCUUAUCAGCUUGUUGGUGGGGUAGUGGCUUACCAAGGCUUUGACGGGUAGCCGGCCUGAGAGGGUGACCGGCCACAUUGGGACUGAGAUACGGCCCAGACUCCUACGGGAGGCAGCAGUGGGGAAUAUUGCACAAUGGGCGGAAGCCUGAUGCAGCAACGCCGCGUGCGGGAUGACGGCCUUCGGGUUGUAAACCGCUUUCGCCUGUGACGAAGCGUGAGUGACGGUAAUGGGUAAAGAAGCACCGGCUAACUACGUG